Non-coding RNA from Clostridium sp. CAG:921, 74 nucleotides. Lineage: Bacteria; Bacillati; Bacillota; Clostridia; Eubacteriales; Clostridiaceae. The record is from Rfam.
AAAUAUGAUCGAAAAAGGUUUAUCGCAAGAAGUCAGCAGAUACCAUAGUAGGAAAAAAUUUUUUUCCGAAGGGU